AGAUUGAACGCUGGCGGCAGGCCUAACACAUGCAAGUCGAGCGGUAGAGAGGUGCUUGCACCUCUUGAGAGCGGCGGACGGGUGAGUAAUGCCUAGGAAUCUGCCUAGUGGUGGGGGAUAACGUUCGGAAACGGACGCUAAUACCGCAUACGUCCUACGGGAGAAAGCGGGGGACCUUCGGGCCUCGCGCCAUUAGAUGAGCCUAGGUCGGAUUAGCUAGUUGGUGAGGUAAUGGCUCACCAAGGCGACGAUCCGUAACUGGUCUGAGAGGAUGAUCAGUCACACUGGAACUGAGACACGGUCCAGACUCCUACGGGAGCAGCAGUGGGAAUAUUGGACAAGUGGGACGAAAGCCUAGAUCCAGCCAUGCCGCGUGUGUGAAGAAGGUCUUCGGAUUGAAAGCUAACGUUUAAGGUGGAAGGUAAGGGUUAGUAAACUUUAAGUUACGUUGACUAAACGUUUCGACGUUUAACCGACAGAAAUAAGCCUAACCGGUACUAACGUUCGUACGCCCGUAAGCCGAGUCCCGUACGGUUAAC
RNAcentral lists this ribosomal RNA (539 nucleotides) under uncultured soil bacterium. Its description in RNAcentral is "bacterial SSU rRNA". It matches the Rfam family "Bacterial small subunit ribosomal RNA", at positions 31 to 542 of the family's 1533-position model. The record is from RNAcentral.